CAGCGCCCCCGAUACUGGAUGCGGAUAUUCGGGAUAUAUCUGGACGCAACAGCGCGCACCGUUACGUGUAUGACCUUCAAUCUAAAAACAAAUAGGAGGUUAUGAAAAUAUAAAGCUUAAAUUUAAUGGGAAUAUGUUACAUGCUGCUUCGCUAUUCAAAUUCUUGGCAUUAGGAUCUAUAAUUUCAG
Molecule: long non-coding RNA, 188 nt
Organism: Harmonia axyridis
Lineage: Eukaryota; Metazoa; Arthropoda; Insecta; Coleoptera; Coccinellidae
Exons: 3
Source: RefSeq, a predicted model, not a curated record